AGUGAACGCUGGCGGUAGGCCUAACACAUGCAAGUCGAACGGCAGCACAGUAAGAGCUUGCUCUUACGGGUGGCGAGUGGCGGACGGGUGAGGAAUACAUCGGAAUCUACUUUUUCGUGGGGGAUAACGUAGGGAAACUUACGCUAAUACCGCAUACGACCUACGGGUGAAAGCAGGGGAUCUUCGGACCUUGCGCGAUUGAAUGAGCCGAUGUCGGAUUAGCUAGUUGGCGGGGGAAAGGCCCACCAAGGCGACGAACCGUAGCUGGUCUGCGAGGAUGAUCAGCCACACUGGAACUGAGACACGGUCCAGACUCCUACGGGAGGCAGCAGUGGGGAAUAUUGGACAAUGGGCGCAAGCCUGAUCCAGCCAUACCGCGUGGGUGAAGAAGGCCUUCGGGUUGUAAAGCACUUUUGUUGGGAAAGAAAAGCAGCAGGUUAAUACCCCGCUGUUCUGACGGUACCCAAAGAAUAAGCACCGGCUAACUUCGUG
Molecule: ribosomal RNA, 492 nt
Filed under: uncultured bacterium
Lineage: Bacteria
Description: partial 16S ribosomal RNA
Rfam family: Bacterial small subunit ribosomal RNA
Source: RNAcentral